GUGAGGAAUAUUGGUCAAUGGGCGAGAGCCUGAACCAGCCAAGUAGCGUGCAGGAUGACGGCCCUACGGGUUGUAAACUGCUUUUAUGCGGGGAUAAAGUGAGGGACUUGUCCCUUUUUGCAGGUACCGCAUGAAUAAGGACCGGCUAAUUCCGUGCCAGCAGCCGCGGUAAUACGGAAGGUCCAGGCGUUAUCCGGAUUUAUUGGGUUUAAAGGGAGCGCAGGCCGGUGUGUAAGCGUGACGUCAAAUACAGCCGCUCAACGGUUGUCCGCGUCGCGAACUGCACGCCUUGAGUACGCUGCAAGUGGGCGGAAUUCGUGGUGUAGCGGUGAAAUGCUUAGAUAUCACGAAGAACUCCGAUUGCGAAGGCAGCCCGCUGUCGCGUGACUGACGCUGAGGCUCGAAGGUGCGGGUAUCGAACAGG
This 424-nucleotide ribosomal RNA is filed under the name uncultured rumen bacterium. Its description in RNAcentral is "bacterial SSU rRNA". It matches the Rfam family "Bacterial small subunit ribosomal RNA", at positions 354 to 776 of the family's 1533-position model. The record is from RNAcentral.